This 480-nucleotide ribosomal RNA is filed under the name uncultured Methanosaeta sp. RNAcentral describes it as "bacterial SSU rRNA". It matches the Rfam family "Archaeal small subunit ribosomal RNA", at positions 856 to 1338 of the family's 1478-position model. Lineage: Archaea; Methanobacteriati; Methanobacteriota; Methanomicrobia; Methanotrichales; Methanotrichaceae. The record is from RNAcentral.
UCAAAGGAAUUGACGGGGAGCACCACAACGGGUGGAGCUCGCGGUUUAAUUGGAUUCAACGCCGGAAAUCUUACCGGGACCGACAGCAAUAUGAAGGCCAGGCUGAAGACUUUGCCGGAUUAGCUGAGAGGUGGUGCAUGGCCGUCGUCAGUUCGUACUGUGAAGCAUCCUGUUAAGUCAGGCAACGAGCGAGACCCACGCCCACAGUUGCCAGCGUACUCUCUGGAGUGACGGGUACACUGUGGGACCGCCGCUGCUAAAGCGGAGGAAGGAAUGGGCAACGGUAGGUCAGUAUGCCCCGAAUAUCCCGGGCUACACGCGAGCUACAAUGGUUGGUACAAUGGGUAUCUACCCGAAAGGGGACGGGAAUCUCCUAAAACCAAUCUUAGUUCGGAUUGAGGGCUGCAACUCGCCCUCAUGAAGCUGGAAUCCGUAGUAAUCGCGUUUCAACAGAACGCGGUGAAUACGUCCCUGCUCCUU